This 993-nucleotide long non-coding RNA is filed under the name Homo sapiens (human). Its description in RNAcentral is "non-protein coding LRRC75A-AS1:5". Lineage: Eukaryota; Metazoa; Chordata; Mammalia; Primates; Hominidae. The record is from RNAcentral.
GGAUUGGGAUAUUCCGACUCCUUAAGGGCCUGGCGCACAUAAGGUGUGACCUUUUCAUUCCCGUUGUUAUGGAGGGCCACAUCUGCCAGAGCCUGGAGUCUGCGAAGGCCGGGACCCGGUUCCCCGGCCCACAGUGGGGGUGUGCAAACCCGAGAGAACUGGAUUGCGUACCCACUGCAGAGUGCUGAAGACGGGGUAGCCACGAGGUUGCAAAUUCGUGAAGAAUCAGCAUCAUGUUUGGCAGCUGAGUAUUGGAGCCAGGAGCCUGCCAUGAGGUUUUGAGAACAGAGUGCUGUUUUAGAGCUGGCAGCAGCAUCUCAGCCCAAGAGAAGGUUAUAUUCCCAGAGGAUGUCAGUCCCAAGGACCAGUAGCUGCCAUCAGUUUGGAUUCUGAAAACUAACUGGCAUCAACACUGGGUGUAGAAACAUGCUUGCCUUAUGUAUCAGAGGACAUGCUCAGCAGAUCCAAGAGAUAUAUUUGGCAACUUUUUCUAGAAAAGGCACAUUGGGUAUCAUUCAUUACAUUCUUGAGUUUUUUUGGGUUUUUUUUUUUUUUUUUGAGACAGUCUUGCUGUAUUGCCCAGGCUGGAGUGUGGUGGCACAAUCACAGCUCAUUGCAUCCUCAAUCACCCAGGCCUAAGCAAUCCUCCCACCUUGUAGCUGGGACUACAGCUCACAGCACACCUGGCUAAAAUUUUUUUUUUGUUGAGACGGAUUCUCUAUGUUGCCCAGGCUGGUCUCAGGCUCCUGGGCUCAGAUGGUCCUCCUGCCUCAGCUUCCAAAGGCACAGGCCAAGUUGUAGCUUUGUCCCUUGCCAUCAUGCCCAACAAGAGGUUCUAUACCUUUUAAUGAAUUGACUUUCAUAAAUUGGUUAUGUUGGUGGGCAAAGUUCUUUAAGCUGGAAAUUGUAAAUUCCUCCUGAAAUGUUUUUUCAUGCAGUUACCAUGAACUAAUACUACAAUAAAGGAUGGUCUUGGGUGUCAAUUCUUGAAAA